RNAcentral lists this ribosomal RNA (397 nucleotides) under uncultured bacterium. Its description in RNAcentral is "partial 16S ribosomal RNA". It matches the Rfam family "Bacterial small subunit ribosomal RNA", at positions 523 to 918 of the family's 1533-position model. The record is from RNAcentral.
AUACGUAGGGGGCGAGCGUUGUCCGAAUUUACUGGGCGUAAAGGGCGCGUAGGCGGUGAAUUAAGUUGGUGGUGAAAGUCCAAGGCUCAACCUUGGAAUUGCUUCCAAUACUGGUUGACUUGAGGCAUGAAUGGGGAAGUAGAAUUCCGGGUGUAGCGGUGAAAUGCGUAGAUAUUCGGAGGAAUACCGGUGGCGAAGGCGGCUUCCUGGUCAUGUCCUGACGCUGAGGUGCGAAAGCUAGGGUAGCGAACGGGAUUAGAUACCCCGGUAGUCUUAGCCGUAAACGAUGGAUACUAGUUGUCAUAGGUAUCGACCCCUGUGGUGACGAAGCAAACGCAUUAAGUAUCCCGCCUGGGGAGUACGGCCGCAAGGUUGAAACUCAAAGGAAUUGACGGGG